This 333-nucleotide ribosomal RNA is filed under the name Triticum aestivum (bread wheat). RNAcentral describes it as "partial small subunit ribosomal RNA". The record is from RNAcentral. Lineage: Eukaryota; Viridiplantae; Streptophyta; Magnoliopsida; Poales; Poaceae.
AUGUGUUGCAGGGAAGCAAUGGGAAGCACUGAGGUUUACAAUCGAGGUCCUGCUGUUAGAGGUUUUGACCCACUGUUUGACCCUUUUUGCAUAUGGGGAAAUGAGUCGUCCAUGAAUAUCAGUCAAGUCAAGAAACUCAAAAAGAUUGUUAGGAUAAAGAAAUUAGCGACAAAAAACAACAAGAUCUUUGUCUGCACAAUAAAGAAGACAUCAGUUCACUACAGGCCUUUCCAAAAUAGUUCACUGAUGAUUACCUCUCAAACCACCUGUAUGGUCAGGAGGCGAGGAAGGUAUUCAUACAACACCCACGGUUCAAUAUUGAAGUGUUCCUGA